Non-coding RNA from Corylus avellana, 2623 nucleotides. Lineage: Eukaryota; Viridiplantae; Streptophyta; Magnoliopsida; Fagales; Betulaceae. The record is from RefSeq and is a predicted model, not a curated record.
ACGCACCCACGGAGGACGCAGAUAUUUUCCCUCCCAACAAACAAUAAAUUGCUGAGACACCCUCUCCUUCCCCCAAAUUCCCACAUAGCAAAUAUCUCCGGUAUCUUCUACCGGGAAAAACCAAAGCAAUUUCCGGCAAAACAAAACUCAGAGAACUGCGAAAGCAAACAGAUAUUUCCUUUUCUUCCUUGAAAGAAAGUUGCCUCCUUUUGUUUUGAAACCCUAAACAGUUCCUCUUUUUUCCUAUUAUCAUCACCCGCGGAAGCACCAAAGGAUCGUACCACCGACGAUGAACCACUACGACAAUCGCUACGCCGACCCCAGUUCCUAUCGUGAGCGUCGAAGUGACCUGAUAGGGCCACCGCCUCCUGUGGGUCCUCCGGUGAUAGGCGGCUAUGGCCGCGGUGGGCCCGUCCCGUACGGGGGUCCCCCUCCUCCGGCUUAUGGAAGAGGUGGUGGGUCGGCACAACCUGCCGGGGCCGGUAAUUUCAAUGGGUAUCCGCCGUUUGAGCCGCCCGUUGGCCGAUUCGAUAUUGGCCGAGGCGGUGGAAGAACGGGGAAUGGACAUGUGGGAGUUGGGGAUAGGAGAGUGGGCAGUGUAGGCCGUGGUGGUGCUGGUGGAAGGGGCUUUGAUUUGGGGCGUGGCGGUGGUAGACUAGGUACAAGCCGUGAUGGUGGUGUCAGGAGUAAGAUUGGUGGUGGAGGGCGUGGUGGGAAUGCGGGUUUUGGCGGUGGACGAGGUGGUGGGAGGGGAUUUGAGGGGCGUGGUGGUGGUGGUGGAAGAGGAGGUAGACAUGGUGGUGGGGGGUCGAGAGGGGAUUUGGACAACAUUGCUUUGCCCAAGCAGGAUUUUGGGAAUUUGGUCCAUUUUGAGAAGAAUUUUUAUGUUGAGACUCCUUCGGUGCGGGCGAUGAGUGAGCACGAAGCUUUGGCUUAUCGGACGAGAAGGGAGAUCAUGGUUGAAGGGCAUGAUAUCCCAAAGCCAAUUAGGGUGUUUCAUGAAGCUAAUUUCCCUGAUUACUGCCUUGAGGUGAUUGCAAAACUGGGUUUUGUUGAGCCAACAGCAAUUCAGGCUCAAGGAUGGCCAAUGGCUCUCAAGGGUAGGGAUUUAAUUGGUAUUGCUGAGACUGGUUCUGGUAAGACUUUGGCAUAUCUGCUUCCUGCUUUGGUACAUGUUAGCGCACAGCCUCGAUUGGGACAAGGUGAAGGUCCCAUUGUACUGGUGUUAGCACCCACUAGAGAAUUAGCAGUUCAAAUUCAAGAAGAAGCUGUAAAAUUUGCGUCACGUGCUAAUAUUAGAAGUACUUGCAUAUAUGGUGGUGCUCCUAAAGGGCCUCAAAUUCGUGAUCUUAAAAGAGGCGUGGAGAUUGUCAUUGCUACACCUGGUCGACUGAUAGAUAUGUUGGAAGCCCAACACACAAACUUGCGAAGAGUGACUUACCUUGUGUUAGAUGAGGCUGAUAGAAUGUUGGACAUGGGAUUUGAGCCUCAAAUUAGGAAAAUUGUUGCCCAGAUCCGGCCAGAUAGACAGACAUUGUAUUGGAGUGCCACAUGGCCAAGGGAGGUUGAAAGUCUUGCAAGGCAGUUUUUACGCAAUGCAUAUAAGGUAAUUAUUGGAUCACCAUAUCUGAAAGCAAACCAAUCUAUACUUCAAGUUGUUGAAGUUGUGACAGAGGUGGAGAAAUAUAAUAGGCUGAUCAAACUGCUUAAAGAAAGCAUGGACGGGAGCCGAAUUCUAAUAUUCAUGGAGACAAAAAAAGGAUGUGACCAAGUCACAAGGCAAUUGAGAAUUGAUGGGUGGCCAGCUCUAUCCAUCCAUGGCGAUAAAAGCCAGGCUGAAAGGGACUGGGUCCUUGCUGAGUUUAAAACUGGCAGAAGUCCUAUAAUGACUGCCACUGAUGUUGCUGCACGGGGUCUUGGUAGGAUCACUGUGUGUUAGGAGUCUUAGGUUUUUGCAUCUAGGUCUUGAAAUUCCAGAAUAGGCGAGUUGGCCGGCUGCUGUCCAGUAUCCUGAGAAUAUAAUUGUGGUUUGGGUGCGAAGGGAGGGGCCAUGACAGCGACUGCUAAAAUUUUAUUUGCACAUGAGUAUUAUAUUUCAACUUUGUUAAGGGAUUUAUUAUUUAUGAGUUGAAUGGAGGUGUGAGAUUUCCCAUACUAGGAUGUUCCUCAACAGAACUCCAUUUGGGUAUUAUCUUAUUCAUACAGCUCAUGUUACAUGGACACUAGGAGCAUAGUUUUGCUGAUAUUGCUUGGAUAAUAGUUGAGUAAAUUUUUUAGGCUAUGCCAUUAACAUUGUGGAAGCCAAAUUGAUAAUAAUAAGUUAGGAAGUAGAGCUGGCUUUUAUGAGGUUGGCUACUGACUUGGUAUUGCUCCUAUCAUCAAGUGUCCAAUUAACAUAGUUAAAGUUGUCGCAGCCCAUCCACGGUUAUGGAGCUGGUCGUUGUCGCAGCCUGGUUGACUCACACAUGCUUAUACAUUGAUUGAAUAUGGAAGUGGUGGUGGUGAAGCUGCUCCUUAUCCCUGCAAGGUUAAGAUGUGAAGGACAUAAAAUGUGUGAUCAAUUAUGAUUUUCCAUCAAGCCUUGAAGAUUAUGUCCACAGAAUUGGCCGAACUGGUAGGGCAG